This 451-nucleotide ribosomal RNA is filed under the name Globigerinoides ruber ruber. RNAcentral's name for it is "SSU rRNA". It matches the Rfam family "Eukaryotic small subunit ribosomal RNA", at positions 1234 to 1477 of the family's 1831-position model. Lineage: Eukaryota; Foraminifera; Rotaliida; Globigerinidae. The record is from RNAcentral.
CGAGGAUUGACAGACAGUUACCAUGCCCUUUCGAAAGGAGUCAGGUUUUAAACCUAAUGGCUCUUUCAUGAUUAUAUGAUAGGUGGUGCAUGGCCGUUCUUAGUUCGUGGAGUGAUCUGUCUGCUUAAUUGCGUUUCAAAUUUUUAUUUGAGGACCAGGUUUUGGUUUGGGUAGUGGUCCUACGAUGACUGUGAACUGUCAUGUCUUCGGAUGUGCGACUAUCGGUCUAGGAUCGCAUCUCAGCCCCUGGGACUCUUUUGAACGCAACGGACGUGAUUGCAACCCCUUGUUGAGAUUAGAGGAGUCUCGAUAUUCAUUGGCCAAACUUACCGCUUCGAGCUUGCUCGUGCAGUUUUGUUAGCCGGUGGAUAAACUCGGGGGACUGCUGACUAUAACCAUUUCUCAAAACAGAGGAAGGUUGCGGCAAUAACAGGUCUGUGAUGCCCUCAGA